Long non-coding RNA from Mytilus californianus (California mussel), 310 nucleotides. RefSeq lists it as uncharacterized. The transcript is spliced from 3 exons. The record is from RefSeq and is a predicted model, not a curated record. NCBI's taxonomy places the organism in Eukaryota, Metazoa, Mollusca, Bivalvia, Mytilida, Mytilidae.
AGAUGUUUUACGCUUGAAGUUGCAAGUCAAAGGAAGCACGGAUAUUCCUUUCAGCACAAGGAAGUACUCAGUACAAAUUGCGCUUCCAGAAACAUUAUUUGAGGGAAAUCGCAUAAAGGAAACAAGUAGGACCAUUGCAUUAAGGCUUCCAAGAUAGAAUGAAACAUUAUCAUUUCUUGUAAAAAACAAAGAUUUGUUAAACAAGGAGAAUUAUAUAUUAGAUUUAAAGUUAAGUAGCACAAACACAGAACCGACAACUGUAAAGAUAAGCAUGGGGGAGUUGUGUGAAGAGACAAGUGUUGCUACAUUU